RNAcentral lists this ribosomal RNA (781 nucleotides) under uncultured bacterium. RNAcentral's name for it is "bacterial SSU rRNA". It matches the Rfam family "Bacterial small subunit ribosomal RNA", at positions 1 to 777 of the family's 1533-position model. The record is from RNAcentral.
UAGAGUUUGAUCCUGGCUCAGAUUGAACGCUGGCGGCAGGCCUAACACAUGCAAGUCGAGCGGUAACACAGAGGAGCUUGCUCCUUGGGUGACGAGCGGCGGACGGGUGAGUAAUGCCUGGGGAUCUGCCCGAUAGAGGGGGAUAACUACGGGAAACUGUAGCUAAUACCGCAUAAUGUCUACGGACCAAAGUGGGGGCUCUUCGGACCUCAUGCUAUCGGAUGAACCCAGGUGGGAUUAGCUAGUUGGUGAGGUAAUGGCUCACCAAGGCGACGAUCUCUAACUGGUUUGAGAGAAUGACCAGUCACACUGGAACUGAGACACGGUCCAGACUCCUACGGGAGGCAGCAGUGGGGAAUAUUGCACAAUGGGCGCAAGCCUGAUGCAGCCAUGCCGCGUGUGUGAAGAAGGCCUUCGGGUUGUAAAGCACUUUCAGCGGGGAGGAAGGGUCACUAGUUAAUACCUAGUGGCAUUGACGUUACUCGCAGAAGAAGCACCGGCUAACUCCGUGCCAGCAGCCGCGGUAAUACGGAGGGUGCAAGCGUUAAUCGGAAUUACUGGGCGUAAAGCGCACGCAGGCGGUUUGUUAAGUCAGAUGUGAAAUCCCCGAGCUCAACUUGGGAACUGCAUUUGAAACUGGCAAGCUAGAGUCUUGUAGAGGGGGGUAGAAUUCCAGGUGUAGCGGUGAAAUGCGUAGAGAUCUGGAGGAAUACCGGUGGCGAAGGCGGCCCCCUGGACAAAGACUGACGCUCAGGUGCGAAAGCGUGGGGAGCAAACAGGA